AUUGAACGCUGGCGGCAGGCCUAACACAUGCCAGUCGAACGGUAACAGGAAGAAGCUUGCUUCUUUGCUGACGAGUGGCGGACGGGUGAGUAAUGUCUGGGAAACUGCCUGAUGGAGGGGGAUAACUACUGGAAACGGUAGCUAAUACCGCAUAACUUCGCAAGAACAAAGAGGGGGACCUUCGGGCCUCUUGCCAUCGGAUGUGCCCCGAUUGGAUUGGCUAGUAGGUGGGGUAACGGCUCACCUUGGCGACGAUCCCUAGAUGGUGUGAGAGGAUGACCAGACACACUGUAACUGAGACACGUUCCACACUCCUACGGGAAGCAGCAGUGGGGAAUAUUGCACACUGGGCCCAAGCCUGAUGUUGCCAUGCCGCGUGUAUGAAGAAGGCCUUCGGGUUCUAAAGUGCUUUCAGCGAGGAGGAAGGGAGUAAAGUUCAUCCCUUUACUCAUUGACGUUACCCGCAGAAGAAGCACCGGCUAACUCCGUG
Molecule: ribosomal RNA, 490 nt
Filed under: uncultured bacterium
Lineage: Bacteria
Description: partial 16S ribosomal RNA
Rfam family: Bacterial small subunit ribosomal RNA
Source: RNAcentral